UCGGGAAUCUUGGACAAUGGGCGCAAGCCUGAUCCAGCCAUGCCGCGUGGAUUAUGAAGGCCUUAGGGUUGUAAAAUCCUUUCGUGGGGGACGAUAAUGACGGUACCCCAAGAAGAAGCUCCGGCUAACUUCGUGCCAGCAGCCGCGGUAAUACGAAGGGGGCUAGCGUUGUUCGGAUUUACUGGGCGUAAAGCGCGUGUAGGCGGGUCGUUAAGUUGGGGGUGAAAUCCCGAGGCUCAACCUCGGAACUGCCUUCAAAACUGGCGACCUGGACUCAAGCAGAGGCAAGUGGAAUUGCGAGUGUAGAGGUGAAAUUCGUAGAUAUUCGCAGGAACACCAGUGGCGAAGGCGGGUCUCUGGGAAACAACUGACGCUGAGGAACGAAAGCGUGGGUAGCAAACAGGAUUAGAUACCCCGGUAGUCCCUGAGCGGGCUGGCAAGGCGCAU
Molecule: ribosomal RNA, 447 nt
Filed under: uncultured bacterium
Lineage: Bacteria
Description: bacterial SSU rRNA
Rfam family: Bacterial small subunit ribosomal RNA
Source: RNAcentral